CAAAAACAUGGCUCCUUGAAUUUUAAUAAUAGGGAGUCGGACCUGCCCAGUGAAAUUUUUAACGGCCGCGGUACUCUGACCGUGCAAAGGUAGCAUAAUCAUUUGCCUUAUAAUUGAAGGCUAGUAUGAAUGGUUUGACAAGAAUGAAGCUGUCUCUUUAUAAUUUAAUAGAAUUUUAUUUUUAGGUGAAGAAGCCUAAAUAAAAUUAAAAGACAAGAAGACCCUAUCGAGCUUAAAAAAAGUUAAUAGAACUAACUAAUUAAUAUUUAUAAAAAAUUAUCUAAUAAACAUUUUAGUUGGGGCGACUGAGGAACAUAAAAAGCUUCCUUUAUAAAGUUAAUUGAAAUCAAACUAGAACUGAUCCAAAAUAUUUUGAUUAAAGAAAUUAGUUACCGUAGGGAUAACAGCAUUAUCUUUUUUAAGAGCUCAUAUCGAAAAAAAGGUUUGUGACCUCGAUGUUGGACCAGAAUAUCCUAAAGGUGCAGCAGUCUUUAAGGGUUGGUCUGUUCGACCAUUAAAAUUCUACGUGA
RNAcentral lists this ribosomal RNA (530 nucleotides) under Nassarius kraussianus. RNAcentral describes it as "partial 16S ribosomal RNA". It matches the Rfam family "Bacterial large subunit ribosomal RNA", at positions 1808 to 2603 of the family's 2925-position model. Lineage: Eukaryota; Metazoa; Mollusca; Gastropoda; Neogastropoda; Nassariidae. The record is from RNAcentral.